UAAGUAAGCUUUGAUCCAGAGAUUUCCGAAUGGGGAAACCCAGCAUGAGUUAUGUCAUGUUAUCGAUAUGUGAAUACAUAGCAUAUCAGAAGGCACACCCGGAGAACUGAAACAUCUUAGUACCCGGAGGAAGAGAAAGAAAAUUCGAUUCCCUUAGUAGCGGCGAGCGAAACGGGAAGAGCCCAAACCAACAAGCUUGCUUGUUGGGGUUGUAGGACACUCUAUACGGAGUUACAAAGGACGACAUUAGACGAAUCAUCUGGAAAGAUGAAUCAAAGAAGGUAAUAAUCCUGUAGUCGAAAAUGUUGUCUCUCUUGAGUGGAUCCUGAGUACGACGGAGCACGUGAAAUUCCGUCGGAAUCUGGGAGGACCAUCUCCUAAGGCUAAAUACUCUCUAGUGACCGAUAGUGAACCAGUACCGUGAGGGAAAGGUGAAAAGCACCCCGGAAGGGGAGUGAAAUAGAACCUGAAACCGUGUGCUUACAAGUAGUCAGAGCCCGUUAAUGGGUGAUGGCGUGCCUUUUGUAGAAUGAACCGGCGAGUUACGAUUUGAUGCAAGGUUAAGCAGUAAAUGUGGAGCCGUAGCGAAAGCGAGUCUGAAUAGGGCGUUUAGUAUUUGGUCGUAGACCCGAAACCAGGUGAUCUACCCUUGGUCAGGUUGAAGUUCAGGUAACACUGAAUGGAGGACCGAACCGACUUACGUUGAAAAGUGAGCGGAUGAACUGAGGGUAGCGGAGAAAUUCCAAUCGAACCUGGAGAUAGCUGGUUCUCUCCGAAAUAGCUUUAGGGCUAGCCUCAAGUGAUGAUUAUUGGAGGUAGAGCACUGUUUGGACGAGGGGCCCCUCUCGGGUUACCGAAUUCAGACAAACUCCGAAUGCCAAUUAAUUUAACUUGGGAGUCAGAACAUGGGUGAUAAGGUCCAUGUUCGAAAGGGAAACAGCCCAGACCACCAGCUAAGGUCCCAAAAUAUAUGUUAAGUGGAAAA
RNAcentral lists this ribosomal RNA (985 nucleotides) under Staphylococcus aureus. RNAcentral's name for it is "partial 23S ribosomal RNA". It matches the Rfam family "Bacterial large subunit ribosomal RNA", at positions 89 to 1070 of the family's 2925-position model. Lineage: Bacteria; Bacillati; Bacillota; Bacilli; Caryophanales; Staphylococcaceae. The record is from RNAcentral.